Pipistrellus kuhlii (Kuhl's pipistrelle) is the source of this 158-nucleotide long non-coding RNA. RefSeq lists it as uncharacterized. The record is from RefSeq and is a predicted model, not a curated record. Lineage: Eukaryota; Metazoa; Chordata; Mammalia; Chiroptera; Vespertilionidae. The transcript is spliced from 3 exons.
UAUUAUGAUUCAUUAACAGUAGCAAAAUUACAGUUAUAAAGUGGCAAAAAAAAUAAUUUUAUGGUCGGGGGUCACUACAACAUGAGGAACUGUAUUAAAGGGGCAUGGCAUUAGAAAGGUUGCGAACCACUGGAUUAGAGCAAAACAAAAGGAGACUU